AUUGAACGCUGGCGGCAUGCCUUACACAUGCAAGUCGAACGGCAGCGGGGGAGAAGCUUGCUUUUCCUGCCGGCGAGUGGCGAACGGGUGAGUAAUACAUCGGAACGUGCCCUGUAGUGGGGGAUAACUAGUCGAAAGAUUAGCUAAUACCGCAUACGACCUGAGGGUGAAAGUGGGGGACCGCAAGGCCUCAUGCUCUAGGAGCGGCCGAUGUCGGAUUAGCUAGUUGGUGGGGUAAAGGCCUACCAAGGCGACGAUCAGUAGCUGGUCUGAGAGGACGAUCAGCCACACUGGGACUGAGACACGGCCCAGACUCCUACGGGAGUCAGCAGUGGGUAAUUUUGGACAAUGGGCGAAAGCCUGAUCCAGCAAUGCCGCGUGUGUGAAGAAGGCCUUCGGGUUGUAAAGCACUUUUGUCCGGAAAGAAAUGGCUCUGGUUAAUACCUGGGGUCGAUGACGGUACCGGAAGAAUAAGGACCGGCUAACUACGUGCCAGCCGCCGCCGUAA
Molecule: ribosomal RNA, 508 nt
Filed under: uncultured bacterium
Lineage: Bacteria
Description: partial 16S ribosomal RNA
Rfam family: Bacterial small subunit ribosomal RNA
Source: RNAcentral